Molecule: ribosomal RNA, 441 nt
Filed under: uncultured bacterium
Lineage: Bacteria
Description: partial 16S ribosomal RNA
Rfam family: Bacterial small subunit ribosomal RNA
Source: RNAcentral
CCUACGGGAGGCAGCAGUGGGGAAUAUUGCACAAUGGGGGGAACCCUGAUGCAGCGACGCCGCGUGGGUGAAGGAGUAUUUCGGUAUGUAAAGCCCUAUCAGCAGGGAAGAACAAUGACGGUACCUGACUAAGAAGCACCGGCUAAAUACGUGCCAGCAGCCGCGGUAAUACGUAUGGUGCAAGCGUUAUCCGGAUUUACUGGGUGGAAAGGGAGCGCAGGCGGCGCGUUAAGCCUGGUGUGAAAGCCCGCGGGCCAACCGCGGGACUGCAUGGGGAACUGGCGCGCUGGAGUGCCGGAGGGGUAGGCGGAAUUCCUAGUGUAGCGGUGAAAUGCGUAGAUAUUAGGAGGAACACCAGUGGCGAAGGCGGCCUACUGGACGGUGACUGACGCUGAGGCUCGAAAGCGUGGGGAGCAAACAGGAUUAGAUACCCUGGUAGUC